This 1630-nucleotide ribosomal RNA is filed under the name Metamycoplasma hominis. RNAcentral describes it as "bacterial LSU rRNA". It matches the Rfam family "Bacterial large subunit ribosomal RNA", at positions 1 to 1634 of the family's 2925-position model. Lineage: Bacteria; Bacillati; Mycoplasmatota; Mycoplasmoidales; Metamycoplasmataceae. The record is from RNAcentral.
UAUUAAACAAGCAAGAGUUUUUGGUGGAUGCCUUGGGUCUGGAAGUCGAUGAAGGACGUGAUUACCUGCGAUAAGCCUCGGUUAGCUGGAAAUAAGCUGUUAUCCGGGGAUUUCCGAAUGGGGAAACCUAAUUGAGCUAAUCCUCAAUUAUCAUAUCGAUGAAUUCAUAGUCGAAUGAAGAGACACGCUGUGAAUUGAAACAUCUCAGUAGCAGCAGGAAGAGAAAAUAAAGAAUGAUUCCCUAAGUAGUGGCGAGCGAACGGGGAAGAGCCCAAACCAACACAUGUUGUUGGGGUUGUAGGACUGCGACAUGGAUUAAUGAAUUUGUACAUAGCAGAAUAAGUUGGAACGCUUAAACAUAGAGGGUGAAAUUCCCGUAAGCGAAAUGUAUAAAUCUCCUAGCAGUAUCCUGAGUAGGGCGGGGCACGUGAAACCCUGUCUGAAUUUGCCGGGACCACCCGGUAAGGCUAAAUACUAACCAGACACCGAUAGUGAACUAGUACCGUGAGGGAAAGGUGAAAAGAACCCCGGGAGGGGAGUGAAAUAGAUUCUGAAACCAAUUACUUACAGUUAGUCAGAGCCCGUUAAUGGGUGAUGGCGUACAUCUUGCAGAAUGGACCGGCGAGUUAUGUCAACAUGCGAGGUUAAGUAGAAUAAAGCGAAGCCGUAGAGAAAUCGAGUCUGAAUAGGGCGAUUUAGUAUGUUGAUAUAGACCCGAAACCAGGUGAUCUACCCAUGAGCAGGUUGAAACUUAGGUAACACUAAGUGGAGGACCGAACCGCAGUACGCUAAAAAGUGCCCGGAUGACUUGUGGGUAGGGGUGAAAUUCAAUCGAACUUGGAGAUAGCUGGUUCUCUCCGAAAUAGCUUUANGGCUAGCGUGUANUGUUAAAUGAUGGGGGGUAGAGCACUGAAUAUGGNAUGGCGGCGCCUAGCCCGUACUGACUAUUAUCAAAACUCCGAAUACUAUCAUGUAUUACUAUGCCAGUCNGUCCAUCGGUGAUAACCCUCNAUNNCCCCCAAGGGGGACCACCCCAAAUCNCCGGNUAGGUCCCNAAAAUUCGUGUNANGUAAAAANGGUUGUNAGNUUUUCAUAAACCANCUAGGAAGUUGGCUCCAGAANCCANCCNCCUUUUUAAAGAGUGCGUAAUAGCUCACUUAGUCAAGAGACCUUGCGCCAACCAAUUUAANGGGACUAAAACACGAUACCGAAGCCGCGGGUAAUUAUAUUUACGUUAGAGGAGCGUUCCUAGGGCAAUGAAGUCAGACCGUGAGGACUGGUGGAGCGCUAGGAAGUGAGAAUGCCGGUAUGAGUAACGAUUCGUAGUGAGAAUCUACGACGCCUAUUGGGGAAGGUUUCCUGGGCAAGGUUCGUCCACCCAGGGUUAGUCAGGACCUAAGACGAGGCUGAAAAGCGUAGCCGAUGGACAACAGGUUAAUAUUCCUGUACUUUCUAUAAUAGUGAUGGAGUGACGGAGGAGGAUAAUCUUACCACUUACUGGAUUGUGGGGUAAGCGUUCACUGGUGACUGUAGGCAAAUCCGCAGUCUAUAACCGGGAGGCGUGAUGCAUAGGGUCAAACCGAAUUAGAUNAUUCCACACUUCCAAGAAAAGCUUCUAAACUUAAUAUUA